ACACACACACACACACACACAUUAACCGAUCUCUAAAGGUUCUCUCAUACUGCUACUACAUUGGUGAGGUACUUUGUUUCUGUAUUUCUAUGAUGUGGUGCAGCAUACUUUGCAUACCGUGUAUACAGUACAUGUAAACACACAUACGUGUGCCAGUAUUUUGUCCCCUCUGAGCCUCCGUAGCUUGACGUCCUCCCACAGCAGUGAACAAACAUCAGGCUGUCGGACGUGUCCUCUCUCUUUCAGACGUGUCCUCUCUCUCUCAGAUGAGUCCCUCUCUCUUUCAGACGUGUCCUCUGUCUGUCGGACGUGUCCUCUCUCUUUCAGACGUGUCC
Long non-coding RNA from Gasterosteus aculeatus aculeatus (three-spined stickleback), 335 nucleotides. Lineage: Eukaryota; Metazoa; Chordata; Actinopteri; Perciformes; Gasterosteidae. The record is from Ensembl.